RNAcentral lists this long non-coding RNA (200 nucleotides) under Homo sapiens (human). Its description in RNAcentral is "HSALNT0358396". Lineage: Eukaryota; Metazoa; Chordata; Mammalia; Primates; Hominidae. The record is from RNAcentral.
GCCACACCUCUCCUUCCUCACUGCUUGGUGGAUGAGCUGCCAGGUCCUGCCAAUCCCUACUGCCCUCCUGCACUGAAAGGAGCCUCCUUGGGAGCAAAUGUCCUGCCACCCCUCUCUGAUCUGCCCUGGACUCCUUCCUGGUGACCUCUGGCUCCAGCCAGCACAUCUCAAUUCAGACUAGCCGCACUUCAAGUGCCCAG